AGUUAAUUGGCUUGUUACGUUGGAUCCAUAAUGCCACUUGGGGAUCAUGCCCAAUGCAAAGUAGAUAAAUACCUUCGUUGUGGUGAGAUAGUACAGCCUAGAUCGAAGAGGCAGCUAGGGAGACAAAGAAAUGCUAGGCGAAGAACAAGGGUUAAGCUUUCCAACCCUAUAAAGGGUGGAAGGUGUGGCAGUUCGAAACACCAAUAGGAGAACAUGUAAACAACCAAAAGCUUUAAGCUAUGUGGGGAAGCAUAAACGGGGUUCUGAAAAAUAGGUGUAGUAGAUAUCGUUUGUGAUUUACUUUUCAAUUGAAGACAUUGUUGUACUGAUUGCAUGUGCAGUACAUCGCAACUAAAUAAAUUGAUACUAAAAUUGUCUUUCCAUCGGCAAAGUUUGAAGUUUUUUUCAUUUUGUGUAAUUUACCCAUUUGUGUGAUGAUUUGCUAUGUGUAGAGUGACAAAUCCAAGGUAAAAAGACGUUUGAUAAUUCUCUGGCCAACGAUGAAAUUGUCAUGUGCCAAUAGCACUGAUCAAAUUUGGCUGACACCUAGGCUGACCGACCCUCACAUUGUGCAUGAGUUCCGCGUGAAUUAAAAAAUGUCCGACCCCCAAGGUGUAUGUGUUCGGUCAUCUCCUAAGUCAACCAUUAUGUUCGUGUAGCUUAAUCCAUAUUUAUUACUACAUCCAUCUUUGUUUGGCUCGAUGUUAUGAAUUUUGUUGAAACCUUUGGUACAUCACACCUACAUUUGUUAAUACAAGGGAUGAAUGUCCCACUUCGAGGCUGGACCUAUUAGGGUACAUUUUUUGUACUUGGUAUGUUG
Molecule: long non-coding RNA, 820 nt
Filed under: Olea europaea subsp. europaea
Lineage: Eukaryota; Viridiplantae; Streptophyta; Magnoliopsida; Lamiales; Oleaceae
Source: RNAcentral